RNAcentral lists this ribosomal RNA (700 nucleotides) under uncultured bacterium. RNAcentral describes it as "bacterial SSU rRNA". It matches the Rfam family "Bacterial small subunit ribosomal RNA", at positions 8 to 703 of the family's 1533-position model. The record is from RNAcentral.
AGAGUUUGAUCAUGGCUCAGAUUGAACGCUGGCGGAAUGCUUUACACAUGCAAGUCGAACGGGCUUAAGGAGCUUGCUCCUUAAGUUAGUGGCGAACGGGUGAGUAAUAUAUCGGAACGUAUCCAAUAAUGGGGGAUAACUAAUCGAAAGGUUGGCUAAUACCGCAUACGCCCUACGGGGGAAAGCUAGGGACCUUCGGGCCUGGCGUUAAUGGAGCGGCCGAUAUCUGAUUAGCUAGUUGGUGGGGUAAAGGCCCACCAAGGCGACGAUCAGUAGCUGGUCUGAGAGGACGACCAGCCACACUGGAACUGAGACACGGUCCAGACUCCUACGGGAGGCAGCAGUGGGGAAUUUUGGACAAUGGGCGAAAGCCUGAUCCAGCCAUUCCGCGUGAGCGAAGAAGGCCUUCGGGUUGUAAAGCUCUUUCGCAAGGGAAGAACACUUAGUCUCUAACAUAGACUGAGGUUGACGGUACCUUGAUAAGAAGCACCGGCUAACUACGUGCCAGCAGCCGCGGUAAUACGUAGGGUGCGAGCGUUAAUCGGAAUUACUGGGCGUAAAGCGUGCGCAGGCUGUUUUGUAAGUCAGAUGUGAAAUCCCCGAGCUCAACUUGGGAACUGCGUUUGAAACUACAAGACUAGAAUAUGUCAGAGGGGGGUAGAAUUCCACGUGUAGCAGUGAAAUGCGUAGAGAUGUGGAG